This 33-nucleotide ribosomal RNA is filed under the name Pratylenchus mediterraneus. RNAcentral's name for it is "partial 28S ribosomal RNA". The record is from RNAcentral. Lineage: Eukaryota; Metazoa; Nematoda; Chromadorea; Rhabditida; Pratylenchidae.
UCAGGCGAGAGCACCCGCUGAACUUAAGCAUAU